RNAcentral lists this unclassified non-coding RNA (352 nucleotides) under soil metagenome. RNAcentral describes it as "partial contains 5.8S ribosomal RNA, internal transcribed spacer 2, and large subunit ribosomal RNA". The stretch from base 1 to 120 matches the Rfam family "5.8S ribosomal RNA", at positions 35 to 154 of the family's 154-position model. The record is from RNAcentral.
GAUGAAGAACGUAGCGAAAGGCGAUAAGUAAUGUGAAUUCCAGAAUUCAGUGAAUCAUCGAAUCUUUGAACGCACAUUGCGCCCGCCAGUAUUCUGGCGGGCAUGCCUGUUCGAGCGUCAUUACAACCCUCAGGCCCCCGGGCCUGGCGUUGGGGAUCGGCGGAGCCCCCCGUGGGCACACGCCGUCCCCCAAAUACAGUGGCGGUCCCGCCGCAGCUUCCAUCGCGUAGUAGCUAACACCUCGCGACUGGAGAGCGGCGCGGCCACGCCGUAAAACACCCAACUCUUCUGAAGUUGACCUCGAAUCAGGUAGGAAUACCCGCUGAACUUAAGCAUAUCAAUAAGCGGAGGA